CCAAAAGCUGGCGACCGGCGCACGGGUGAGUAACACGUAUCCAACCUGCCUCAUACUCGGGGAUAGCCUUUCGAAAGAAAGAUUAAUACCCGAUGGCAUAGUUCUUCCGCAUGGUAGAACUAUUAAAGAAUUUCGGUCAUCGAUGGGGAUGCGUUCCAUUAGGUUGUUGGCGGGGUAACGGCCCACCAAGCCUUCGAUGGAUAGGGGUUCUGAGAGGAAGGUCCCCCACAUUGGAACUGAGACACGGUCCAA
RNAcentral lists this ribosomal RNA (252 nucleotides) under uncultured bacterium. RNAcentral's name for it is "partial 16S ribosomal RNA". It matches the Rfam family "Bacterial small subunit ribosomal RNA", at positions 80 to 334 of the family's 1533-position model. The record is from RNAcentral.